RNAcentral lists this ribosomal RNA (207 nucleotides) under uncultured bacterium. RNAcentral's name for it is "partial 16S ribosomal RNA". It matches the Rfam family "Bacterial small subunit ribosomal RNA", at positions 568 to 774 of the family's 1533-position model. The record is from RNAcentral.
CGUGUAGGCGGUCUGAUAAGUUCGGCGUGAAAUUUCCCGGCUUAACCGGGGGAUGUCGUCGGAGACUGUCGGACUAGAGGGUGAUAGAGGCGUGUGGAAUUCCGGGUGUAGUGGUGAAAUGCGUAGAGAUCCGGAGGAACACCAGUGGCGAAGGCGACACGCUGGGUCACACCUGACGCUAAAACGCGACAGCAUGGGGAGCAAACG